Molecule: ribosomal RNA, 490 nt
Filed under: uncultured bacterium
Lineage: Bacteria
Description: partial 16S ribosomal RNA
Rfam family: Bacterial small subunit ribosomal RNA
Source: RNAcentral
GAUGAACGCUAGCGAUAGGCUUAACACAUGCAAGUCGAGGGGCAGCAUGGUCUUAGCUUGCUAAGGCUGAUGGCGACCGGCGCACGGGUGCGUAACGCGUAUGCAACUUGCCUCACAGAGGGGGAUAACCCGUCGAAAGACGGACUAAUACCGCGUACACUCUAUGUUGUGCAUCCAAUGUAGAGGAAAUGAAAUUCGCUGUGAGAUAGGCAUGCGUCCCAUUAGCUAGUUGGUGAGGUAACGGCUCACCAAGGCGACGAUGGGUAGGGGAACUGAGAGGUUGAACCCCCACACUGGUACUGAGACACGGACCAGACUCCUACGGGAGGCAGCAGUGAGGAAUAGUGGGCAAUGGGCGAGAGCCUGAACCAGCCAAGUCGCGUGAAGGAUGACUGUCUUAUGGAUUGUAAACUUCUUUUAGACGGGAAUAACAAGAGUCACGUGUGGCUCCCUGAAUGUACCGUAUGAAUAAGCAUCGGCUAACUCCGUG